Molecule: unclassified non-coding RNA, 2135 nt
Filed under: Hevea brasiliensis (rubber tree)
Lineage: Eukaryota; Viridiplantae; Streptophyta; Magnoliopsida; Malpighiales; Euphorbiaceae
Source: RNAcentral
UACAAUAAUAUAUUUCUAUUCUUGUCCAUUUUUCCUAUUGUACUGUUACUUGCUCUGGCUGCGUUCUCUGUAUAAAGACACAUUAGUGAAAGAAAAUGCCAAGCUCAGGCUCAUUCUUGAGGUAGCUAAGUGGCAGAGAAGCUUGGAGAUCAACAUCCAGGAGGUCGGGUUGUAAUAACCAAAACAACAUGCAUAGCAUUGCUGAAGGUGGUUUUAACUGGGGUUGCGAGACGAGUAUUAAGGAAAUGGAGGGCCUUAACAUGUAUGAUGGUGACAAUGGUGGGUUGUGUAUGAAAAAGAGAGUGAUGGUGGUUGUGGAUCACAAUUCUCACUCCAGGCAUGCAAUGAUGUGGGCUCUCACUCAUGCGGCUAACAAUGGUGAUUUGCUUACUCUGCUUCACAUUAUCCCUCCUGUCCACAAGGGUAGUGAAAGGGCUUCUGGCUCUGAUUCUUUUUCUCCUUAUCUUACUAAUUCUCUUGGCUCUCUUUGCAAGGCUUGUAAACCUCAGGUAUAUAUGCUUUCUUUAUUAUGUUCUAUUGAGGUUUACGGCUUUCUUUAAUUUUCUCUUUCUAUUUCUAGUCAGUCUUGGGUUCUAUAGAUCAAGAAACAGAGAGCUACCACAGUCCACAGAUGGAUCCUGAUCCAUCUUCUGCAUUACAUUGAUUUUUCUUUUUUCUUUUUUUAAUAUAUAUUAUGGAUCACAUGGCUCUGACACUGUAUUUUCUCGCAGUUUUGUUUGCUAGAUCCUGCUUAGUUUUCCUCACUUUUCCUCUUUCCCUGCGAGGGCUUUCUGUGAGAGGGAAUUUUCACUCGUUUGAGUUUACUUUUCCUUUUUAACCAUUUCUUUUUAUAUGUAAGGUUAUUUUCUGUCAUUCUUGGUUCAAGUUUCCUUUUUCUUUCAAGUAUUUCUUUUUUCACCUUUGAACUUUUAUUCAUUUCCGUUCUGCAAUGGGGGAGAAGGGGGACAAUUUUCAGCACCUCAUUAGUUUGUCUUUUCAUUUUUCACUUCUGGUUUCCAAAAUACAGAUAGGCAUGGUGGGGGUGGGAGAUUUUCAGAUACUUUCAACUUUUUUGUCUCUAUAUAUCUGUUUACUGUUGUUAACAUUAUAUCUGAGAAACAUGUCAAAGAUUUGUCACUUCAUUUGAUGAAUCUAAUGGUUUUACUAUUUAGGUGGAAGUAGAAGCACUGGUAGUCCAAGGGCCAAGGCUGGCCACAGUGAUGAACCAAGUGAAGAAGCUGGAUGUUUCUGUCCUAGUAGUAGGCCAGAAAAAAACCUCUCCCCUUAUCAAUUGGUGGGCCCAAAACUCCUAAUCUAUGCAUCCCAUAUCAACCUUUUGAUCUCUCACUGCUCUGAUAUUGAUAAUGGUGAGUUUUUUUCCUCUUGUUUUUCUGCAGCCUAUGUGGAACGAGCAGCAGUGAGGAGUUCGUGGAGCAGUGUAUCAACAAUGUAGAUUGCCUGACUGUUGGAGUAAGCAAGCAAAGCAAAAGUGUGGGUGGGUACCUUAUCAGCACCAGAUGGAAGAAGAACUUCUGGCUUUUGGCUUAGUUCAAAGUUAAUAACUUAAGUUAGAUAAAUGGGUUGUCGUUAGAUCCUAGUCUCACUAUUUGUAAAAUGUAAACUACUAAGUGCUAACGAGAUCGUCCUUUGUACCAAUGAAAUAUCAUGAGAAUCUCUCUCCUCUAAGCUUCAUAACCAACAGUAACUAAACAUUAUAUGUAAAGGUAUGCAUUCUUACUUUAGUUCAUCUAGCAUCAAGAACGUUUCUUCGGCAUUUUCCAUUUUGGGUUGUGAAAAAGAAGCCAAUGUGAUUAGUAAACCUCAACACAAAUCAUUGGUUGAUGGUGCAACUUACUUCCAGAGUUGUUGUCAAUUAGCAAAAUUUUGGCAAGGAAGAUGUUAUUUUGAACAAAAAAAAAGAUUGUUCAUCAAAGCAUGCUUCUUUUGGUUUGGAAGCUGCAGUAAUGUGCAACUUCGGAAGAGUUGUGAUCAUAAACGUGCAACCUUGAAUCACGAAAGCCUUGCAGGCUAUGGGGAGUAGGGAUAAUUGCAAUUGAGCCAAAUAAUUUUUAUUUCUGAUCAAGAAAAGAAACUUAUAUUAAAAAAUUAUGCUGGAUGUACACACAACAAAGUGA